CGUAGGGUGCAAGCGUUAAUCGGAAUUACUGGGCGUAAAGCGUGCGCAGGCGGCUUUGCAAGACAGAUGUGAAAUCCCCGGGCUUAACCUGGGAACUGCAUUUGUGACUGCAUGGCUGGAGUGCGGCAGAGGGGGAUGGAAUUCCGCGUGUAGCAGUGAAAUGCGUAGAUAUGCGGAGGAACACCGAUGGCGAAGGCAAUCCCCUGGGCCUGCACUGACGCUCAUGCACGAAAGCGUGGGGAGCAAACAGGAUUAGAUACCCUGGUAGUCCACGCCCUAAACGAUGUCAACUGGUUGUUGGACGGCUUGCUGUUCAGUAACGAAGCUAACGCGUGAAGUCGACCGCCUGGGGAGUACGGCCGCAAGGUUG
This 370-nucleotide ribosomal RNA is filed under the name uncultured organism. RNAcentral describes it as "bacterial SSU rRNA". It matches the Rfam family "Bacterial small subunit ribosomal RNA", at positions 526 to 896 of the family's 1533-position model. The record is from RNAcentral.